Mycena filopes is the source of this 116-nucleotide non-coding RNA. The record is from the annotation of a GenBank genome assembly. Lineage: Eukaryota; Fungi; Basidiomycota; Agaricomycetes; Agaricales; Mycenaceae.
GGUUGGAUGGCCGAGCGGUCUAAGGCGCUCGACUAAGGAUCCGCUCUUGUUUGAGAGCAAAUUUUCUUAUGGGAAUCUGGUCCUCCGGGGCGUGGGUUCGAAUCCCACUCCAAUCA